AAAUAAAUUUUUUAUGGUUUAUAAAUUUUAUUUUAAGUUUAUUUUACAUAUAAAUUUUAGUAUUAAUUUUAUAUUAUUUUAAUAAUAAUUUAUAUUUAUUUAGUAGUAAUUAAUAUUAAAUUAUUUAAGUAAUUAAGAUUUAGUAAUAUUUAAAUUAAUAACAAAUUUUGUGCCAGCAGUUGCGGUUAUACAAAAAUUAAAUUAAAUUUUAUUGAUAAUUAAUAAAUAAUUUUGUUUAUUAUAAUAAAAAUUUUAAAUUAUUAGGUGAAAUUUUAAUUUAAUAAAAUUUUAUAAUUAUUUUAUGAUUUAAUAAAUUUUAUAAAAAACUAGGAUUAGAUACCCUAUUAUUAAAAUUUAAAAUUAAUAUAUCAAAAUAGUAAAUAAUUAUUUAUUGAAACUUAAAUAAUUUGGCGGUAUUUUAGUUCAUUUAGAGGAAUCUGUUUAAUAAUUGAUAGUCCACGAAUAAAUUUACUUAAUUUAUUAUUUUGUAUAUCGUUGUUAAAAAAAUAUUUUUUAAUAAAAUUAAUAUUUAAAAAUUAUUAUUUUAAUUUAAAUCAGAUCAAGAUGCAGAUUAUAAUUAAGAAUAUAAUGGAUUACAAUAAAUUUAUUUAAAUGAAUAUUAAUUUGUAAAAAUUAAUUGAAAGUGGAUUUAAAUGUAAUUUUAUUUAAUUUAAUAAAAUGAUUAAAAAUUAAAAUAUGUACAUAUUGCCCGUCGCUUUCAUAUAUAAUAUAUAAAAAUUGAAAUAAGUCGUAACAAAGUAGAGGUACUGGAAAGUGUUUCUAGAAAGAA
RNAcentral lists this non-coding RNA (790 nucleotides) under Agrotis segetum (turnip moth). Lineage: Eukaryota; Metazoa; Arthropoda; Insecta; Lepidoptera; Noctuidae. The record is from RNAcentral.